Long non-coding RNA from Dermacentor andersoni, 810 nucleotides. RefSeq lists it as uncharacterized. NCBI's taxonomy places the organism in Eukaryota, Metazoa, Arthropoda, Arachnida, Ixodida, Ixodidae. The record is from RefSeq and is a predicted model, not a curated record.
GUUUUGGUGACACGUAUACAUUCGCGCGUCACCGACCUUUCCUCCAUUCCGUUCGGUCGCGAGCCCUUGACUUGUGCGUCAGCAGCUGGAAGCUGCCGCAGUGGAAGAACGCCGUGGCACUCCUCUUCCAUGAUUUUUGGCCACAGCUUCACGCCGAGAUCCAUCCUGCCGUGAUUUUUGGCUACGGUUUCGCGGCGAAAUCCAUCCUGCCGUGAUUUUUGGCCACGGCUUCGCGGCGAAAUCCAUCCUGCGCGACAGGCAGUGUAACUGCGGGGAGGUGACAGAAACGGGCACAAAAGCGAUGACAUCUCAGGAUUACAACGGAAAACCAGCCCACCUGACCACGUGCGCAAAGCGAUAAUUGGGAAAAGGUUGAACGAUGAAGAAGCUUUCUCCGGCGCAAGAAUCCUGGAUACUGCACCAUAACGAUGCAAAUAUAUGCCUUUUGCUGCAGAAAAUGCCUCCAGAGACGCGUGAGGUGACGUCGCUUACGACCACAAGCAACGUUUCACACUCAAGCUUUCCCCCCAUCCCCAACACCCGCUCCCAAUCAACCUUUCGUCCUUCAUUGAUGGAGAAAAAAAGAACUGCGAUUCGCGAUGUUCUGUCCAAAGUGACACGUUACAGCUGUGUGCGUGUGGUGUGCGUGUGUGUUUUAAUUCGCUUCACAACGGCAGUGUGUGACUCUUGACGGAGGGGAUGAAGACUGGACGAGAUAAGUAUUACAGGUUCUGGACAUUCUUUGGACGUCGGCCUCUUCUCUUGCGAACGCAUAAAGGUCAGUGUCAUGUAACCCCAUUUCUUACAGAA